GCGUAAGAGUGUUUAAGAAGGAGGAUGAAAGAAUCUAGGACCAGGUGAAACGACGUAAAAUUUCCAAGAGGCGUGCUGCUGUGAGUUGUUGGACCUCGUCUUCCUGGACAGCAUG
Long non-coding RNA from Nematolebias whitei (Rio pearlfish), 115 nucleotides. RefSeq lists it as uncharacterized. The transcript has 3 exons. The record is from RefSeq and is a predicted model, not a curated record. NCBI's taxonomy places the organism in Eukaryota, Metazoa, Chordata, Actinopteri, Cyprinodontiformes, Rivulidae.